RNAcentral lists this unclassified non-coding RNA (256 nucleotides) under Hevea brasiliensis (rubber tree). The record is from RNAcentral. Lineage: Eukaryota; Viridiplantae; Streptophyta; Magnoliopsida; Malpighiales; Euphorbiaceae.
AUUAUCAAUAACCUGAAUUUGUCUACUUUUCGUCAUGUAUUUAUUCGUCCUUUCUCGACAUAAUUUCCCGUAAUUCUCAAUGUUUUCAUGAUGAGGCUUCACGUCAAAUUUGUGAUAUAUCUUCCCUUCAACCGAAACCCUUCCUUGACCCGAUUCGGAAAAUAUCGACAUUGGGAUAAAAUCUGUUGACAUAUCCAUCGAGUAGUGAGUCGGCAUGUUUCCAGAUGAAGUUCCGGCCAAUUCCAUGGUGAAUUGA